Molecule: ribosomal RNA, 253 nt
Filed under: uncultured bacterium
Lineage: Bacteria
Description: partial 16S ribosomal RNA
Rfam family: Bacterial small subunit ribosomal RNA
Source: RNAcentral
UACAGAGAUGGCGAGCGUUGUUCGGAAUCACUGGGCUUAAAGCGCGUGUAGGCGGGGUGAUGGGUGCCUUGUGAAAUCCCUCGGCUCAACCGGGGAAUGGCUCGGCAAACCGGCACUCUUGAGGCAGGUAGAGGUCACUGGAACCAUUGGUGGAGCGGUGAAAUGCGUAGAGAUCAAUGGGAACGCCGGUGGCGAAAGCGAGUGACUGGGCCUGUACUGACGCUGAGACGCGAAAGCGUGGGUAGCAAACAGG